GAUGAACGCUGGCGGCGUGCCUAAUACAUGCAAGUCGAGCGAACAGACGAGGAGCUUGCUCCUCUGACGUUAGCGGCGGACGGGUGAGUAAUACGUGGAUAACCUACCUAUAAGACUGGGAUAACUUCGGGAAACCGGAGCUAAUACCGGAUAAUAUAUUGAACCGCAUGGUUCAAUAGUGAAAGACGGUUUUGCUGUCACUUAUAGAUGGAUCCGCGCCGCAUUAGCUAGUUGGUAAGGUAACGGCUUACCAAGGCAACGAUGCGUAGCCGACCUGAGAGGGUGAUCGGCCACACUGGAACUGAGACACGGUCCAGACUCCGACGGGAGGCAGCAGUAGGGAAUCUUCCGCAAUGGGCGAAAGCCUGACGGAGCAACGCCGCGUGAGUGAUGAAGGUCUUCGGAUCGUAAAACUCUGUUAUUAGGGAAGAACAAAUGUGUAAGUAACUAUGCACGUCUUGACGGUACCUAAUCAGAAAGCCACGGCUAACUACGUG
Molecule: ribosomal RNA, 497 nt
Filed under: uncultured bacterium
Lineage: Bacteria
Description: partial 16S ribosomal RNA
Rfam family: Bacterial small subunit ribosomal RNA
Source: RNAcentral